GAUGAACGCUGACAGAAUGCUUAACACAUGCAAGUCUACUUGAAUUUGGGUUUUUUAACUUAGAUUUGGGUGGCGGACGGGUGAGUAACGCGUAAAGAACUUGCCUCACAGUUAGGGACAACAUUUGGAAACGAAUGCUAAUACCUGAUAUUAUGAAUAUAUGGCAUCAUAUAAUUAUGAAAGCUAUAAGCGCUGUGAGAGAGCUUUGCGUCCCAUUAGCUAGUUGGAGAGGUAACGGCUCACCAAGGCGAUGAUGGGUAGCCGGCCUGAGAGGGUGAACGGCCACAAGGGGACUGAGACACGGCCCUUACUCAUACGGGAGGCAGCAGUGGGGAAUAUUGGACAAUGGACCAAGAGUCUGAUCCAGCAAUUCUGUGUGCACGAUGACGUUUUUCGGAAUGUAAAGUGCUUUCAGUUGGGAAGAAAAAAAUGACGGUACCAACAGAAGAAGUGACGGCUAAAUACGUG
Molecule: ribosomal RNA, 468 nt
Filed under: uncultured bacterium
Lineage: Bacteria
Description: partial 16S ribosomal RNA
Rfam family: Bacterial small subunit ribosomal RNA
Source: RNAcentral